AUUGAACGCUGGCGGGAUGCCUUACACAUGCAAGUCGAACGAGUGGCGGACGGGUGAGUAAUAUAUCGGAACGUGCCCAGUAGCGGGGGAUAACUACUCGAAAGAGUGGCUAAUACCGCAUACUAUUGGAUCGGCCGAUAUGGGAUUAGCUAGUUGGUGGGGUAAAGGCUCACCAAGGCCACGAUCCCUAGCUGGUUUGAGAGGACGACCAGCCACACUGGGACUGAGACACGGCCCAGACUCCUACGGGAGGCAGCAGUGGGGAAUUUUGGACAAUGGGGGAAACCCUGAUGCAGCCAUGCCGCGUGUAUGAGAAGGCCUUAGGGUUGUAAAGUACUUUCAGUCGGGAGGCGUUACCGACAGAAGAAGCACCGGCUAACUCCGUGCCAGCAGCCGCGGUAAUUC
RNAcentral lists this ribosomal RNA (405 nucleotides) under uncultured bacterium. Its description in RNAcentral is "partial 16S ribosomal RNA". It matches the Rfam family "Bacterial small subunit ribosomal RNA", at positions 30 to 526 of the family's 1533-position model. The record is from RNAcentral.